RNAcentral lists this ribosomal RNA (301 nucleotides) under uncultured bacterium. RNAcentral's name for it is "partial 16S ribosomal RNA". It matches the Rfam family "Bacterial small subunit ribosomal RNA", at positions 509 to 807 of the family's 1533-position model. The record is from RNAcentral.
CAGUCGCCGCGGGAAUACGAAGGGUGCAAGCGUUACUCGGAAUUACUGGGCGUAAAGCGUGCGUAGGUGGUGGUUUAAGUCCGUUGUGAAAGCCCUGGGCUCAACCUGGGAAUUGCAGUGGAUACUGGGUCACUAGAGUGUGGUAGAGGAUAGUGGAAUUUCCGGUGUAGCAGUGAAAUGCGCAGAGAUCGGAAGGAACAUCUGUGGCGAAGGCGACUAUCUGGGCCAACACUGACACUGAGGCACGAAAGCGUGGGGAGCAAACAGGAUUAGAUACCCCAGUAGUCCCUGUCUCUUAUAC